RNAcentral lists this ribosomal RNA (1996 nucleotides) under uncultured marine bacterium. RNAcentral describes it as "bacterial SSU rRNA". The stretch from base 1 to 1508 matches the Rfam family "Bacterial small subunit ribosomal RNA". The record is from RNAcentral.
AUUGAACGCUGGCGGCAGCCCUUACACAUGCAAGUCGAGCGAGAAAGUUUCUUCGGAAGCGAGUAAAGCGGCGGACGGGUGAGUAACGCGUAGGAAUCUACCAUUCAGUGGGGGAUAGCUCGGGGAAACCCGAAUUAAUACCGCAUAUACCCUAAGGGGGAAAGAGGGCCUAUCCUUGGAAGCUCUUGCUGUUUGAUGAGCCUGCGUGAGAUUAGUUUGUUGGUGAGGUAAUGGCUCACCAAGACUACGAUCUCUAGCUGGUCUGAGAGGACGAUCAGCCACACUGGGACUGAGACACGGCCCAGACUCCUACGGGAGGCAGCAGUGGGGAAUAUUGGACAAUGGGGGCAACCCUGAUCCAGGCAUGCCCGCGUGUGUGAAGAAGGCCUUCGGGUUGUAAAGCACUUUAGGUAAGGAAGAAAAGUUAUUGGUUAACACCCAAUGACCGUGACAUUACUUACAGAAUAAGGACCGGCUAACUCCGUGCCAGCAGCCGCGGUAAUACGGAGGGUCCAAGCGUUAAUCGGAAUUACUGGGCGUAAAGCGCGCGUAGGCGGUUUGACAAGUUGGGUGUGAAAUCCCCGGGCUUAACCUGGGAACUGCAUUCAAAACUUUUAAACUGGAGUACGGGAGAGGAGAGUAGAAUUCAUGGUGUAGCGGUGAAAUGCGUAGAUAUCAUGAGGAAUACCAAUGGCGAAGGCAACUCUCUGGACCGUAACUGACGCUGAGGUGCGAAAGCGUGGGUAGCAAACAGGAUUAGAUACCCUGGUAGUCCACGCCGUAAACGAUGACAACUAGCCGUUGGACUUUCGGGUUCAGUGGCACAGCUAACGCAUUAAGUUGUCCGCCUGGGGAGUACGGCCGCAAGGCUAAAACUCAAAUGAAUUGACGGGGGCCCGCACAAGCGGUGGAGCAUGUGGUUUAAUUCGAUGCAACGCGAAAAACCUUACCAACCCUUGACAUCUAGUGAAAUUUCUAGAGAUAGAUUUGUGCCUUCGGGAACACUAAGACAGGUGUUGCAUGGCUGUCGUCAGCUCGUGUCGUGAGAUGUAUGGUUAAGUCCAGUAACGAGCGCAACCCUUAUCCUUAUUUGCCAGCACUUCGGGUGGGAACUCUAAGGAGACUGCCGUGAAUAACACGGAGGAAGGUGGGGACGACGUCAAGUCAUCAUGGCCCUUACGGGUUGGGCUACACACGUGCUACAAUGGGAGAUACAAUGGGUUGCGAAAGCGCGAGCUGGAGCCAAUCCCACUAAGUCUUCCUUAGUCCGGAUUGGAGUCUGCAACUCGACUCCAUGAAGCAGGAAUCGCUAGUAAUCGCGAAUCAGAAUGUCGCGGUGAAUACGUUCUCGGGCCUUGUACACACCGCCCGUCACGUCAUGGGAGUGUGUUGUACCAGAAGUGGUUUGUCUAACCUUCGGGAGGACGGCCCCCACGGUAUGAUACGCGACUGGGACGAAGUCGUAACAAGGUAGCCCUAGGGGAACCUGGGGCUGGAUCACCUCCUAUAUAUUUAUACACAGCCUAAGUUAUUCGUGAGUGUCCGUUCGAAUUAUAUGAAUUUUUUACCCUUUAAAUUUUGAUUUUCUGGGUACGUGCGUUCUUUAAAAGUAUUGUAAUCCAACGAUUAAUGGAUGAGAUUGAUGAGAUCUCUUAAUCCAUUAAUUUAGAUUAAUAAUUAAUGUUAUCAAUUAUUAAUCAACUAUUUUAAAAGCGAAUUUCGCUUUUACGAUAGAUCAAGUUCGGAAUAAAUUUAUUUAUUCCAAAUUUAUACAAUAAUGUUCUGAAAAUUUAUUUUCAGAAUGCUAAUGGCAAAUUUAAUUGGCGCUUAUUAUUCAAAAAAGUCUUAACACUUUUUUAAAAUUAGUUUUUUAAAAACAUAUAGUUAAGUAAUUAAGUGCAUAUGACGGAUGCCUUGGCAGCUAGAGGCGAUGAAGGACGUAGUAAUCUGCGAUAAGCUUCGGUAAGCUGAUAAACAAGCUAUAACCCGAAGAUCU